This 252-nucleotide ribosomal RNA is filed under the name uncultured bacterium. Its description in RNAcentral is "partial 16S ribosomal RNA". It matches the Rfam family "Bacterial small subunit ribosomal RNA", at positions 524 to 776 of the family's 1533-position model. The record is from RNAcentral.
UACGUAGGGGGCAAGCGUUGUCCGGAAUUAUUGGGCGUAAAGCGCGCGCAGGCGGUCUUUUAAGUCUGGUGUAUAACCCUAAGGCUCAACCUUAGGUCGCAUUGGAAACUGGGAGACUUGAGUGCAGAAGAGGAGAGUGGAAUUCCACGUGUAGCGGUGAAAUGCGUAGAGAUGUGGAGGAACACCAGUGGCGAAGGCGACUCUCUGGGCUGUAACUGACGCUGAGGCGCGAAAGCGUGGGUAGCAAACAGG